This 43-nucleotide unclassified non-coding RNA is filed under the name Sorangium cellulosum So ce56. Its description in RNAcentral is "sce_s2m_81". The record is from RNAcentral. Lineage: Bacteria; Pseudomonadati; Myxococcota; Polyangiales; Polyangiaceae.
CCAUUGAACGUCCUGUGUCCGGCGCGCGCAGCGCGAUGGGCAC